Molecule: non-coding RNA, 121 nt
Organism: Picea glauca (white spruce)
Lineage: Eukaryota; Viridiplantae; Streptophyta; Pinopsida; Pinales; Pinaceae
Source: Rfam
ACAUGCUUACAACAUAGCAUUAAUGCAUCAAAUUGCAUUAAAACUCCGUAGUUAAGUGCACUCGGGAUAGAAUAGUACUAGGAUGGGUGAUCACCCACAAAGUCUUAGUAUUUUACAUGCC